AGAGUUUGAUCCUGGCUCAGAACGAACGCUGGCGGCGCGCCUAAUACAUGCAAGUCGAGCGAGAAGASGUAGCAAUACGUUUGUAAAGCGGCGAACGGGUGAGGAAUACAUGGGUAACCUACCCCAGAGUGGGGAAUAACUAGCCGAAAGGUUAGCUAAUACCGCGUACGCUCCYUGGACUUCGGUUCAGGGAGGAAAGCGAUACCGAGGGUAUCGCGCUCUUGGAUGGGCUCAUGUCCUAUCAGCUUGUUGGUGAGGUAACGGCUCACCAAGGCUUCGACGGGUAGCUGGUCUGAGAGGACGAUCAGCCACACUGGCACUGCGACACGGGCCAGACUCCUACGGGAGGCAGCAGUAAGGAAUAUUGCGCAAUGGGCGAAAGCCUGACGCAGCGACGCCGCGUGGGGGAUGAAGGUCUUCGGAUUGUAAACCCCUUUCGGGAGGGAAGAUGGAAUGGGGUAACCCAUUCGGACGGUACCUCCAGAAGCAGCCACGGCUAACUUCGUGCCAGCAGCCGCGGUAAUAC
Molecule: ribosomal RNA, 526 nt
Filed under: uncultured Nitrospira sp.
Lineage: Bacteria; Pseudomonadati; Nitrospirota; Nitrospiria; Nitrospirales; Nitrospiraceae
Description: bacterial SSU rRNA
Rfam family: Bacterial small subunit ribosomal RNA
Source: RNAcentral